AAGGAACUCGGCAAAUUAACCCCGUAAGUUCGCAAUAAGGGGAGCCUCGGUAGUGAUACCAGGUCGCAGAGAAUUGGCCCAAGCAACUGUUUACCAAAAACACAGGUCUCCGCUAAAUCGUAAGAUGAGGUAUGGGGGCUGACGCCUGCCCGGUGCUGGAAGGUCACGGGAAUCUGUUAGAGCAAUCGAAGCAGUGAACUUAAGCCCCAGUAAACGGCGGCCGUAACGAUAACGGUCCUAAGGUAGCGAAAUUCCUUGUCAGGUAAGUUCUGACCCGCACGAAUGGCGUAAUGAUUUGGGCACUGUCUCGACAACGUACCCGGUGAAAUUGUAGUACUUGUGAAGAUGCAAGUUACCCGCGACUAGACGAAAAGACCCCAUGGAGCUUCACUGUAGAUUGUUACUGGGAUUCGAUAUUGUCUGUACAGGAUAGGUGGGAGACGAAGAACGCAUGGCGUCAGUUGUGCGGGAGUCGACGUUGGGAUACCACUCUGACAGUAUUGGGUCUCUAACCGGGAGCCGUAAGCCGGCUUCGGGACAAUGGCAGUCGGACAGUUUGACUGGGGCGGUCGCCUCCAAAAAAGUAACGGAGGCGUCCAAAGGUCACCUCAGUACGGUUGGAAACCGUGCGUCGAGUGCAAAGGCAUAAGGUGGCUUAACUGCGAGACAGACAGGUCGAGCAGGUACGAAAGUAGGGCUUAGUGAUCCGGCGGUAGAAUGUGGAAGUGCCGUCGCUCAACGGAUAAAAGUUACCCUGGGAUAACAGGCUGAUCUCCCCCAAGAGUUCACAUCGACGGGGAGGUUUGGCACCUCGAUGUCGGCUCAUCACAUCCUGGGGCUGAAUUAGGUCCCAAGGGUUCGGCUGUUCGCCGAUUAAAGUGGUACCCGAGCUGGGUUCAGAACGUCGAGAGACAGUUCGGUCUCUAUCUAUCGUGGGCGUAGGAAAUUUGAGGAGUGCUGUCCUUAGUACGAGAGGACCGGGAUGGACAAACCUCUGGUGAACCAGUUGUCACGCCAGUGGCACCGCUGGGUAGCUAUGUUUGGAUUGGAUAAACGCUGAAAGCAUCUAAGUGUGAAACCAGCUUCAAGAUGAGAUUUCCCUCUUUUUUGGUAAGGGCACUGGAAGACCACCAGUUGAUAGGCCAGGUGUGUAAGCAUAGAAAUAUGUUCAGCUUACUGGUACUAACGCCCGAGGACUUGACU
RNAcentral lists this ribosomal RNA (1203 nucleotides) under metagenome. Its description in RNAcentral is "bacterial LSU rRNA". It matches the Rfam family "Bacterial large subunit ribosomal RNA", at positions 1707 to 2925 of the family's 2925-position model. The record is from RNAcentral.